AUUGAACGCUGGCGGCAGGCCUAACACAUGCAAGUCGAGCGGAUGAAGGGAGCUUGCUCCUGGAUUCAGCGGCGGACGGGUGAGUAAUGCCUAGGAAUCUGCCUGGCAGUGGGGGAUAACGUCCGGAAACGGGCGCUAAUACAGCAUACGUCCUGAGGGAGAAAGUGGGGGAUCUUCGGACAUCACGCUAUCAGAUGAGCCUAGGUCGGGUUAGCUAGUUGGUUGGGUAAAGGCCUACCAAGGCGACGAUCCGUAACUGGUCUGAGAGGGUGAUCAGGCACACUGGAACUGAGACACGGUCCCGACUCCUAAGGGAAGCAGCAGUGGGGAAUAUUGGACAAUGGGCGAAAGGCUGGUCCAGGCAACGCGGGUGUGUGAAGAAGGUCUUCGGAUUGGAAAGCACUUGUAGUUGGGAGGAAGGGCAGGAAGUUAAUACCUUGCUGUUUUGACGUUACCAACAGAAGAAGCACCGGCUAAAUUCGUG
RNAcentral lists this ribosomal RNA (484 nucleotides) under uncultured bacterium. RNAcentral describes it as "partial 16S ribosomal RNA". It matches the Rfam family "Bacterial small subunit ribosomal RNA", at positions 30 to 507 of the family's 1533-position model. The record is from RNAcentral.